RNAcentral lists this ribosomal RNA (2201 nucleotides) under Candidatus Yanofskybacteria bacterium RIFCSPHIGHO2_12_FULL_45_19b. RNAcentral describes it as "bacterial LSU rRNA". It matches the Rfam family "Bacterial large subunit ribosomal RNA", at positions 254 to 1943 of the family's 2925-position model. The record is from RNAcentral. Lineage: Bacteria; Candidatus Yanofskyibacteriota.
CGCCUUUGGCAAAGUCCCAAACGGGACAUGCUCAACGCGCGGAGUUCAACACGAAGGCAAUGUCGGAGUUGGGACGGAAGAGUUACAAAUUCACUAGCUAGCCGAACACGCCUGGAAAGGCAGACCACAGCGGGUAAUAGUCCCGUAGGCGAAAGUCAGUGAACUCUUGUAUUGUUACCUAAGUACCCAUGGAGGAGAUUAUCCGUGGCGAAUCCGGGCCUACUACGGUCCAAGGCUAAAUACUUUUAGUGAUCGAUAGUGAACUAGUACCGCGAGGGAAAGGUGAAAAGCACCCCGGUUAGGGGAGUGAAAUAGUAACUGAAACCAUAUGCCUACAAAGAGCCGGAGCGUCCCAAUACCGACAUUGCACUUGUCUUUGACAUACCGCGCCUUUGGCAAAGUCCCAAACGGGACAUGCUCAACGCGCGGAGUUCAACACGAAGGCAAUGUCGGAGUUGGGACGUGACGGUGUGCCUAUUGAAGAAUGAGCCUGCGAGUUUAUACCAGUUGCAAGCCUAAGUCCGUCAGGACGCAGGCGUAGGGAAACCGAGUGUUAAUAGCGCGCAUAUCGUCCCAGUACCGAGCGUCCCAAUGCCGAGAUUGAACCGGUCUUUUGACAUUAAGUCCCAAGGUCCCAAAGACUAGUGGGGACUUGCUAUCAAAAGAUAAGGGCAAUUUCGGGAGCGGGGCGUUCGGCACUGGGACGGUGAGUAUCUGGUAUAAGACCCGAAGCCAAGCGAGCUAACCAUGGUCAGGAUGAAGGUCGCCGAAAGGCGACUGGAGGUCCGAACUGUUUGAUAGCGCAAUAUCAUCGGAUGAACUGUGGUUCGAAGUGAAAAGCUUAUCGAGCUUGGUAAUAGCUGGUUCUCCCCGAAAUGCCUUUAGGGGCAGCGCCAUCUGUUAGUCGAGGGGGUAGAGCACUAAUUGGUUCGUCUUGCCGUUUUACGGUAGACCUACCAAAUAAACUCCGAAUACCUCGAUGAUAAGGAUGGUAGUGAGACGGUGGGGGCAAAGCUUCAUCGUCGUGAGGGAAAGAGCCCAGAUCACAGAUUAAGGUCCCUAAGUGUUAGCUAAGUGUUAAAGGAAGUAUUCUGCCUUAGACAGACAGGAGGUUGGCUUAGAAGCAGCCAUCCUUUAAAGAGUGCGUAACAGCUCACUGUUCAAUCCUCGUCUUCGGAUGAGGAAGGCCGAAUGCGCCGAAAAUUUACCGGGGCUAAGUUAACCACCGAAAUCGUGAAUGCGUCCCAGUACCGAAGUUGUGUUUUGCCGAGCGUUGAGCCCGUCCCCCUUGCCGAUUUUACAAUUUCGGCAGCGGGAGGAGUCAGGUCAAAGGCCGGCAAGAAGACAAUUUCGGCACUGGGGCGCGUGGUAGGGGAGCAUUUCUAACGCAGCGAAGUUCCGCCGUGAGGCUUGGGAUGGAGCGUUAGGAAGGGAGAAUGCAGGCAUGAGUAACCGCAAGCAGCGUGAAAACCGCUGCCGCCGAAAGUCUAAGGUUUCCUCCGCGAUGGCAAUCAGUGGAGGGUUAGGCGCGCCUAAGGAUAACCCAGCUUACGAGCUGGGGAAGCCGAUGGACAGCCGGUUAAUAUUCCGGCCCUUCGUUUAGAUUUAUCAUGGAGUGACGGAGAAAAUAAAGUUGAGCAUAUUAUUGGAUUUAUGUAGCUACCAGCUAGAAUAGCGAUCAGGCAAAUCCGGUCGCUGCCUUCAAUGGCACUACUCAUUGGCGACUAAACUUCUGUCUUCGGAUGGGGGUAUUCAACUGAAGAGUCUUCCUAGAAAAGCUUCUACAGCGUCUAAGCGAAAACGUACUAAAACCGACACAGGUAGACUAGUAUGAUAGUACUAAGGCGAACAGGUGAUUAUUGGCUAAGGAACUCGGCAAAAAAGUGGCCGUAACUUCGGGAUAAGGCCUGCCGUCCCUGUGCCGACAUUGCAUUUGUCUUUGACAUGCCGCGCCUUUGGCAAAGUCCCGAAUGGGACAUGCUCAACGCGCGGAGUUCAACACGAAGGCAACGUCGGCAUUGGGACGGCCGCAGCUAACGACCCCUGGCGACUGUUUAUCAAAAACACAACUCUGUGCUAAAGCGAAAGCUGAUGUAUACAGGGUGACGCUUGUCCAGUGCUGGAACGUUAAUGGUUGAAGUGGUUUGUCUUCGGAUGAACUGCGGAGGCCUGAAGCGCCAGUGAACGACGGCAGUAACUAU